UCCGGCUUAACGCCGGCAGUCUCCUUAGAGUGCCACGGCAUGACCCGGGGGCAACUAAGGACAGGGGUCGCGCUCGUUGCGGGACUUAACCCAACAUCUCACGACACGAGCUGACGACAGCCAUGCAGCACCUGUGCACGAGCUCCGAAGAGGGGCCCCUGUUUCCAGAGGCUUUCUCGUGCAUGUCUAGCCUAGGUAAGGUUCUUCGCGUUGCGUCGAAUUAAACCACAUGCUCCACCGCUUGUGCGGGCCCCCGUCAAUUCCUUUGAGUUUCAACCUUGCGGUCGUACUCCCCAGGCGGGGUACUUCCUGCGUUAGCGCCGGCACCCAGAGGGUCGCUCCCCCAGGCACCUAGUACCCAUCGUUUACGGCGUGGACUAC
Molecule: unclassified non-coding RNA, 381 nt
Filed under: uncultured Gemmatimonadaceae bacterium
Lineage: Bacteria; Pseudomonadati; Gemmatimonadota; Gemmatimonadia; Gemmatimonadales; Gemmatimonadaceae
Description: contains 16S-23S intergenic spacer region
Source: RNAcentral